Long non-coding RNA from Gasterosteus aculeatus aculeatus (three-spined stickleback), 4443 nucleotides. The record is from Ensembl. NCBI's taxonomy places the organism in Eukaryota, Metazoa, Chordata, Actinopteri, Perciformes, Gasterosteidae.
UUGCACGCCAUAUCUUUGCAGAGGUGUGCACACGUAUAAGUGGGCAUCAGGAGAAUCUCUUCACCGGCUGAGGAGGUUAAGCCUCCUUAUCGGCCUUCGCUGCGUGUCGGUUCAGUUUUAGAUCGAGCCGACGUGAACCUCCACUCCUCCGCCUGGCCGCUGCUCGGAUCUCCAACCACCACUUUUUAUGGAGGUUUUAUCUUCCAGCUUUGCCUCCGCGAGCGCCACAACUGCAGAGGAUAACUGAUUUAUUGUGGACACCUUUUAAAGUGCGAGGGGUCUUUUUCAAGCUGUAAAAAUCGAUCCGAUUGGACAAUCGCAAUGUGCAGAGAGAGAUAAUUGGUUGGGAAAACAGGAAGGUUCCAUCUAAGAAUGUUUGCAUUCAGUUCAGCCUCCUCGUAAAGUGAUGCUUGUGCCUUGAGAGCGCCGUUCGCACGCGGUGUUUCCCGCGGCCUCAAAUCCGCUGCACAGAGAACGUCGAGGUGACCUGGUGAAACAACGUGACGGGAAUCACGGGACAAACAACAUCAGCUUGUAGAUCGCUAACGAUCCCCGACUUUGUUUAGUGAAGUCAGUGAGGCUUACGGCUAAAUUAUGGCAACUUUGCCAUCAUCGUUGUCAUUAUUGUGCGCAGUUUUUGGUUAGCUUAUUACACGGCUGCUGUGCCAUUGAGCUACAUACAUGUAUUAUGUUACAUAUGCUCAAAUGAUGCAGAAUGAUAGCAGAGACCAACCGAAAGAUGAUAAUCCAGUGUCGACUCAUCAGAUACUAGCGCUUGGUCAGUGGCCCCCUGGAGCACCCCUCGGUGCACAAAGCUUUCAAACAACUCCGACGCAAGCCCAUCCGUCACUGUGAGACGGUCAAAGCGUCCGUCAUUUAUUGAUACUUUCUCAUAGUUUUCUCACAUGACUUAAUGUACUUGAUGUCAGUGAUAUAACAAACAAACCCGUUUCACACAGCAAACUUGACUUAUUUAAACUAAAACUGAGUAAAUCUCCUUGUAUCAGGAUACUAACGCGCCCUGACACGUUGAAAACGGUGACUACAGCGUAGUUUGAAGAGUCAGCUGUUUUUCUGUCAUUUCGAAGAAUUUUCUUCCUGGUUCUUGAGCAAAUACAAUCUAACCUAGUGUUGUGUUUGCAUCCCGUCCAGCACAAAGUAGCAGACAAGGUUAGUGACUUUUAUAUUGAAUAUUACUGAAUCAAUAAAUGCAGCUUUCUAGAUGAAAAUUCAAAGGUCUUUGUUUACGUGAAAUCCCUGUUUGUUGCAUUUGUGGCUGCAAUGUUUUUGUGAUAAUUGUAAUUAACUCUCUACUUUUCAUUGCUGUUGGUGGAGUUCUUUUCCUGGCGGGGUUCAAAUUGUGUAGGCAGCGUAUACGCAUCAUUUCCUGUGAAUCUUCUGCAGCUUUACACAUUUUUAAUCUCCUCUGGGACCGGAGGUGCAGAAUAUCAACGCGGUUGGAUGCAUGUCAUGUAAUCGAGGAACACAUCCAAACGUCAGGAACUUUAUCCUGGUGAACUGUGGUUGCAGCCUGGUGUCAACAACUGCAUUGUCCUGCAUUGUUUGAGACGAUAAUGUGUGUGACCAUUUCUGCUUCUGGUUUUCGUAGGUCUGUUAACGGAGGAGGCUGAGGAUGUGUGAGAGUAUCAGACUCCCUGAUAACUUAGUUUGGUUUUGCUUUUAUGUUUUGAUUUCCUUGCAAUGGCUGAUGGGACAAAGCUAAAUGGGGAACAAAAAUAACAGCAACCAAUUACAGUAGGUGUCACCUCAUUGUAAAGCCUGACAUGUGUUCGUUCAGUGCAGAGAGAGCGGCGGCAGUGCGGCCACGCGGCCCAGCAGCAGGCGGCGGCGGCGGGGAUGCAGCGGGGCGCCGGACGCCCACCCGCUGCACGCUGGCUUUCUCUCCGAGCACCUCGCCACAGCUGUGUGCUCCGCCGCGCCACAUCAAGGGGAGGCCGGGGUUAUUGCCACUAAGUUUAUGUGUCAAGGCAGAGUCAAUUAUACCUCAGACUGGGGAGAGGAAAACAGAGGGAGAGCGCACGCGGUAAACCUUCCUGCCCCGAGGCUGCGCGAGUGAAGGUUUCUCGUGGCUCCUUUUCUCUCCUUGUUUUUGUUUUUUUCAAAGCAAAGGUUCAUGGUUCUGUGCAAAUGUGCUGUUUACUCCACAGGUAGGAGGGGAUGGGGGGGCCGCAGCCCCUACCAGGGGGGCCAGAUCGUGGGGGCAUCUAGCCGGCAGGCGCCACUGAGGACGAAGGUGUGCUGUGAGCCCGCUCGUUAAACGGCCCCGUGCCGACCGUAAUGAUGUCCGCCGGCACCCUCCCUCUCUCUUGCUCCGCUAUCUCUCCCCUUGCUUCCCUCCAGCCUUCCUCCUCCUCCUCCUCCACCUCCUCCUCCUCCUCUCUUUUCAGGCCAUCUGCCUCUCCUUGUACUCUGUUUUGGUUGAGGAAGCCAAACCCGUCUGGUGGCGGGGGAGAGAGGCUCUGUCACACUCUCCUUCUAAUGAGCAGUCGCUCCGCGUGCCGCCAGCUCCAACUGAGCCAAAAUGGCCGACACAUUUCACACUGCUGGGCCCUUGAUCUGUCAGGUUUGUGAGUGGCUGACUCGACGGCCUCACUACGGAAUGAUAUUGGGGCGACGGGGGGGGGGCAAGAACAAAAAAACAAAGAAGGGAAGAAGUGAUGUAACACGCUGCCUUUGGCGAGAAAUCGGCCUGGCUUGUUUUCUCUGUGUUGCACAGAAGUGGGGCAGUAAUGUGGUGCAGGUGGUGCUGGUGUCCCGAGGAGUUUAAAGUACAUGCGUUGUGUGCGAAGGAGUAAAUAUUAAUUUCGCCGCAUGGAAGAUAUCCAAUGUGGGGGCUUUACCAUUUGUCUGGUGAAUGAUUAACGUUCGUGCCCUUGAUCGCUCCCUUACCAGAAGUGCCCUUCAGGCGGGGGCAGUUUGUAUGUCUCCUGGGGCAUAUUUGUCCUACGGGUCGAUGAUCGAUUUAGAACGGGGGGCACCCAUGGUCAGCAACCCCGAGCCCAAACAAACCACCCUCCUCCCGACUCGCUGUGCAGGCUUCUGGUUAACGAUGGAUAACAAUCUCACCAGGAAUCAUUUCCCAACAUCGUUCUGGCAUUUGUUUCAUUUCCGAUGUAUUUCUGAUCCCGGCAACCGACAGGACAAGUCACGUCCUCCUUCAGACACCAUCCGAGGAAUUAAAGGAAGAAAAGUGUGUGUGUGUGUGUGUGUGUGUGUGUGUGCGUGCGUGCGUGCGUGCGUGCGUGCGUGCGUGCGUGCGUGCGUGCGUGCGUGCGUGCGUGCGUGCGUGCGUGCGUGCGCGCGCGCGCGUGAUGGAUUGUCAGUCUAAACUAAAAGUUUUCUGUGUUUGAUGGCGUAAAUGUCUGCAUGUGACACCGCACACUAUACUUAAAUAUACUAUAAAUUUAGAAGUGACGCAUGCGAACAUUCCCGUGUGUGUUUGUAUUCUUGUGGAAGCAGAGAGCCGAGCUGCGAGGAUUUGGUUGUAGCUUUGUGUGUCGUCCAUCGAUGUCUUGGGUAUUUCUGCGAAUGAGAAAGGAAUAUCUGUCUCUCCAUCAUGUGUGUACGAGGUGUGCAUGAUGGUGUGUGUGUGUGUGUGUGUGUGUGUGUGUGUGUGUGUGCGCGUGUUUGUGUCAGCUAACUAAUUGGCAUCGGUUCAUCCCAGUCAAAGCAACAGAAGAGCUGACGCCUCGUCCACACAAAACGUUUCCUCAGCACGAUAACCCGCGCUGACAAGUAUUCUUCUGUUCCUUGAGGACCGGCACUGUGCAGCGCUUUCCCCGCUGAUUGGCUCGAGUGGGAUUUGCAUAAUGCGUGGGCAUGAAUAACGCUGAACAAUAACCCAUUCAAUAGCAAUGGGCAGUUGGACAUCUACGGCAACAAAACAGCGGAUAAACAGCAACGCCGGGGAACAAAAGUCACUCUCAGCCACAGGCGAACGUCUUGAUCGUCCCGUUGGCCUACAUUCGCUCUCCAGCGUUACUCUCCUCACACUUAUCUCCAAGUCGGCCCCUUAAUCUCCGCCAUUAUGCAUCUUGCAUUGAACGGUCCGCCGAAAUUAAAGAUGACAUCGUUUGUGUCCCGGCAGAAAUGACUCGGACGCCCCCGAUGCUAUUUUUUACCCCUCGAGACGCGUUGAGCGAGAGGUCUAAUUUAUUGAUUGGGGCUGCGUCUCUGCGGCGCCGCGCUCGAGGGGCCGAGGAGGAUUAUGCAGCAGCGCCGCGAUGUUGUUGACACUCCCGUCGCCUUUACAGCUCCGACAUGCCAACACUUGGGUGGGUGCCCGACCCUGAGUGUGUCUAAAUGUGUGUAGUGAGGAGGGGCCCGGGGGGGCGAAGAGGUCAAUGGAGGAGUUUUUGGCUGUGAGAUAGUGAGGGGAUAGUGUGUGUGUGUGUGUGUGUCAUGAGGGGUAGUGGAGGGGAG